This is a long non-coding RNA of Humulus lupulus (European hop), 282 nucleotides long. RefSeq lists it as uncharacterized. The transcript has 2 exons. The record is from RefSeq and is a predicted model, not a curated record. Lineage: Eukaryota; Viridiplantae; Streptophyta; Magnoliopsida; Rosales; Cannabaceae.
UAAACAACCAAACAAUAUUGACUGCGGAUAUUACGUUAUGAGGAUGAUGAAGAAUGUACUUAUUAGUGCCCCUCAUAUCAAACAUUUCUUGUCGAAACAGUUCACCUCUGACAAACCAUAUACUACUCAAGAAAUUGACGAAGUUCGAGAAGAAUGGGCAAUGUCAUUUUUACAAUUGGUUAGAGCAAAAUGAAUGAUGUUAUAGCUAGCUAAUUACAAUACACAUGUUCAGAAAUUUUAAAUUUAUUUUGCAAAUUUUAUUUCAAUUUUUUUAGUAUUUUA